RNAcentral lists this ribosomal RNA (511 nucleotides) under uncultured bacterium. RNAcentral describes it as "partial 16S ribosomal RNA". It matches the Rfam family "Bacterial small subunit ribosomal RNA", at positions 28 to 523 of the family's 1533-position model. The record is from RNAcentral.
GACGAACGCUGGCGGCGUGCCUAAUACAUGCAAGUCGAGCGGAAGUUGGAGAGCUUGCUCUUCAACUUUAGCGGCGGACGGGUGAGUAACACGUGGGCAACCUGCCCUGCAGAUCGGGAUAACUCCGGGAAACCGGUGCUAAUACCGAAUAGUUUUCGCCACCUCCUGGUGGCGUACGGAAAGACGGUUUCGGCUGUCACUGCAGGAUGGGCCCGCGGCGCAUUAGCUAGUUGGGGGGGUAACGGCCCACCAAGGCAACGAUGCGUAGCCGACCUGAGAGGGUGAUCGGCCACACUGGGACUGAGACACGGCCCAGACUCCUACGGGAGGCAGCAGUAGGGAAUCUUCCGCAAUGGACGAAAGUCUGACGGAGCAACGCCGCGUGAGUGACGAAGGUUUUCGGAUCGUAAAACUCUGUUGUGAGGGAAGAACAAGUACCAACUAACUACUGGUACCUUGACGGUACCUCACCAGAAAGCCACGGCUAACUACGUGCCAGCAGCCGCCGUAA